Molecule: ribosomal RNA, 376 nt
Filed under: uncultured bacterium
Lineage: Bacteria
Description: bacterial SSU rRNA
Rfam family: Bacterial small subunit ribosomal RNA
Source: RNAcentral
CCAGACUCCUACGGGAGGCAGCAGUGGGGAAUACUGCACAAUGGGGGAAACCCUGAUGCAGCGACGCCGCGUGAGUGAAGAAGUAUUUCGGUAUGUAAAGCUCUAUCAGCAGGGAAGAAAAUGACGGUACCUGAUUAAGAAGCCCCGGCUAACUACGUGCCAGCAGCCGCGGUAAUACGUAGGGGGCAAGCGUUAUCCGGAUUUACUGGGUGUAAAGGGAGCGCAGACGGCAGUGCAAGUCUGGAGUGAAAGCCCGGGGCCCACCCCCGGAACUGCUCUGGAAACUGUGCGGCUAGAGUGCUGGAGGGGCAGGCGGAAUUCCUAGUGUAGCGGUGAAAUGCGUAGAUAUUAGGAGGAGCACCAGUGGCGAAGGCGG